Molecule: ribosomal RNA, 423 nt
Filed under: uncultured bacterium
Lineage: Bacteria
Description: bacterial SSU rRNA
Rfam family: Bacterial small subunit ribosomal RNA
Source: RNAcentral
AUUGAACGCUGGCGGCAUGCCUUACACAUGCAAGUCGAACGGUAACAGGUCUUCGGAUGCUGACGAGUGGCGAACGGGUGAGUAAUACAUCGGAACGUGCCCGAUCGUGGGGGAUAACGGAGCGAAAGCUUUGCUAAUACCGCAUACGAUCUACGGGAGAAAGCAGGGGACCUUCGGGCCUUGCGCUAUCAGAUGAGCCUAGGUCGGAUUAGCUAGUUGGUGGGGUAAAGGCUCACCAAGGCGACGAUCCGUAACUGGUCUGAGAGGAUGAUCAGUCACACUGGAACUGAGACACGGUCCAGACUCCUACGGGAGGCAGCAGUGGGGAAUAUUGCACAAUGGGGGAAACCCUGAUGCAGCAACGCCGCGUGGAGGAUGACGCAUUUCGGUGUGUAAACUCCUUUUAUAAGGGAAGAUAAUGAC